Molecule: transfer RNA, 87 nt
Filed under: Oscillibacter valericigenes
Lineage: Bacteria; Bacillati; Bacillota; Clostridia; Eubacteriales; Oscillospiraceae
Also listed under: 11 other names
Description: tRNA-Leu
Rfam family: tRNA
About the family: Transfer RNA (tRNA) molecules are approximately 80 nucleotides in length. Their secondary structure includes four short double-helical elements and three loops (D, anti-codon, and T loops).
Source: RNAcentral
GCCGGUGUGAUGGAAUUGGUAGACGUGACGGACUCAAAAUCCGUUGGUAGCGAUACCGUGUGGGUUCGAGUCCCACCACCGGCACCA